This 472-nucleotide ribosomal RNA is filed under the name uncultured bacterium. Its description in RNAcentral is "bacterial SSU rRNA". It matches the Rfam family "Bacterial small subunit ribosomal RNA", at positions 355 to 825 of the family's 1533-position model. The record is from RNAcentral.
UGGGGAAUUUUGGACAAUGGGCGCAAGCCUGAUCCAGCCAUACCGCAUGAGUGAAGAAGGCCUUCGGGUUGUAAAGCUCUUUCAGACGGAAAGAAACGGUUACGGCUAAUACCCGUGACUAAUGACGGUACCGUAAGAAGAAGCACCGGCUAACUACGUGCCAGCAGCCGCGGUAAUACGUAGGGUGCGAGCGUUAAUCGGAAUUACUGGGCGUAAAGCGUGCGCAGGCGGUUUGGUAAGACAGAUGUGAAAUCCCCGGGCUUAACCUGGGAACUGCAUUUGUGACUGCCAGACUAGAGUGUAGCAGAGGGGGGUAGAAUUCCACGUGUAGCAGUGAAAUGCGUAGAUAUGUGGAGGAAUACCGAUGGCGAAGGCAGCCCCCUGGGCUAACACUGACGCUCAUGCACGAAAGCGUGGGGAGCAAACAGGAUUAGAUACCCCAGUAGUCCCUGAGCGGGCUGGCAAGGCGCAU